GACGAACGCUGGCGGCGUGCUUAACACAUGCAAGUCGAACGAAGAGCGACGGAAGCUUGCUUCUAUCAAUCUUAGUGGCGAACGGGUGAGUAACGCGUAAUCAACCUGCCCUUCAGAGGGGGACAACAGUUGGAAACGACUGCUAAUACCGCAUACGAUCUAACCUCGGCAUCGAGGAUAGAUGAAAGGUGGCCCCUACAUGUAAGCAAUCACUGAAGGAGGGGAUUGCGUCUGAUUAGCUAGCUGGAGGGGAAACGGCCCACCAAGGCGAUGAUCGGUAGCCGGUCUUAGAGGAUGAACGGCCACCUUGGGACUGAGACACCGCCCAGACUCCUACGGGAGGCAGCAGUGGGGAAUCUUCCGCAAUGGACGAAAGUCUGACGGAGCAACGCCGCGUGGGUGAUGACGGCCUUCGGGUUGUUAAGCUCUGUUAAUCGGGACGAAAGGCCUUCUUGCGAAUAGUGAGAAGGAUUGACGGUACCGGAAUAGAAAGCCACGGCUAACUACGUG
This 510-nucleotide ribosomal RNA is filed under the name uncultured bacterium. Its description in RNAcentral is "partial 16S ribosomal RNA". It matches the Rfam family "Bacterial small subunit ribosomal RNA", at positions 28 to 507 of the family's 1533-position model. The record is from RNAcentral.